UUAAAAUGUAAAUUUCUUAAAAACUUAGGUAGUAAUAGUUAUGUUCUUGAAACUUAAAAAAUUUGGCGGUAUUUUAGUCUAUUCAGAGGAACCUGUUUUAUAAUCGAUAAUCCACGAUGGACCUUACUUAAAUUUGUAAUCAGCUUAUAUAUCGUCGUUAUUAGAACAUUUUAUUAGAAAGUUAAUUUUCAAAAUUUUAUAAAAGAAAAUAUAUCAGAUCAAGGUGUAGCUUAUGUUUAAGUAAAAAUGGGUUACAAUAAAAAUAUUUAUAUGAAUAUAAAUUUGAAAUGUUUAUUGAAGGUGGAUUUGAUAGUAAAAUUAUAAAGAUUAAUAAUUUGAUUUUAGCUCUAAAAUAUGC
This 358-nucleotide ribosomal RNA is filed under the name Tachina magnicornis. RNAcentral describes it as "partial 12S ribosomal RNA". The record is from RNAcentral. Lineage: Eukaryota; Metazoa; Arthropoda; Insecta; Diptera; Tachinidae.